Molecule: ribosomal RNA, 472 nt
Filed under: Pasteurellaceae bacterium canine oral taxon 080
Lineage: Bacteria; Pseudomonadati; Pseudomonadota; Gammaproteobacteria; Pasteurellales; Pasteurellaceae
Description: bacterial SSU rRNA
Rfam family: Bacterial small subunit ribosomal RNA
Source: RNAcentral
GAGUUUGAUUAUGGCUCAGAUUGAACGCUGGCGGCAGGCUUAACACAUGCAAGUCGAACGGUAGCAGGAGAAAGCUUGCUUUCUUGCUGACGAGUGGCGGACGGGUGAGUAAUGCUUGGGAAUCUGGCUUAUGGAGGGGGAUAACUACUGGAAACGGUAGCUAAUACCGCGUAAUAUCGAGAGAUUAAAGACUGGGACCUACGGGCCAGUUGCCAUAAGAUGAGCCCAAGUGGGAUUAGGUAGUUGGUGGGGUAAAGGCCUACCAAGCCCGCGAUCUCUAGCUGGUCUGAGAGGAUGACCAGCCACACUGGAACUGAGACACGGUCCAGACUCCUACGGGAGGCAGCAGUGGGGAAUAUUGCACAAUGGGGGGAACCCUGAUGCAGCCAUGCCGCGUGAAUGAAGAAGGCCUUCGGGUUGUAAAGUUCUUUCGGUGGUGAGGAAGGUAUCAACUUUAAUAGAGUUGGUAAUG